RNAcentral lists this transfer RNA (70 nucleotides) under Heterocephalus glaber (naked mole-rat). It matches the Rfam family "tRNA". Rfam says of the family: Transfer RNA (tRNA) molecules are approximately 80 nucleotides in length. Their secondary structure includes four short double-helical elements and three loops (D, anti-codon, and T loops). Lineage: Eukaryota; Metazoa; Chordata; Mammalia; Rodentia; Bathyergidae. The record is from Rfam by way of RNAcentral.
UGUAGUAGCUCAGUGGAAGAGCACUUGCCUAGCAUGCACAAAGCCCUGGGUUCCAUUCCCAGUACUGCAA